AACGAACGCUGGCGGCAUGCCUAACACAUGCAAGUCGAACGAGACCUUCGGGUCUAGUGGUGCACGGGUGCGUAACGCGUGGGAACCUGCCCUUAGGUUCGGAAUAACUCCCCGAAAGGGGUGCUAAUACCGGCUCAUGUCCUCCGACCAAAGAUUUAUCGCCUUUGGAUGGGCCUGCGUUGGAUUAGCUUGUUGGUAGGGUAAAAGCCUACCAAGGCGACGAUCCAUAGCUGGCCUGAGAGGAUGAUCAGCCACACUGGGACUGGGACACGGCCCAGACUCCUACGGGAGGCAGCAGUGGGGAAUAUUGGACUGUGGGCGGAAGCCUGAUCCAGCAAUGCCGCGUGAGUGAUGAAGGCCUUAGGGUUGUAAAGCUCUUUUACCCGGGAUGAUAAUGACGGUACCGGGAGAAUAAGCACCGGCUAACUCCGUG
Molecule: ribosomal RNA, 433 nt
Filed under: uncultured bacterium
Lineage: Bacteria
Description: partial 16S ribosomal RNA
Rfam family: Bacterial small subunit ribosomal RNA
Source: RNAcentral